Molecule: ribosomal RNA, 1629 nt
Filed under: Salmonella enterica subsp. enterica serovar Typhimurium var. 5-
Lineage: Bacteria; Pseudomonadati; Pseudomonadota; Gammaproteobacteria; Enterobacterales; Enterobacteriaceae
Description: bacterial LSU rRNA
Rfam family: Bacterial large subunit ribosomal RNA
Source: RNAcentral
UGCUGGAGGUAUCAGAAGUGCGAAUGCUGACAUAAGUAACGAUAAAGCGGGUGAAAAGCCCGCUCGCCGGAAGACCAAGGGUUCCUGUCCAACGUUAAUCGGGGCAGGGUGAGUCGACCCCUAAGGCGAGGCCGAAAGGCGUAGUCGAUGGGAAACGGGUUAAUAUUCCCGUACUUGGUGUUACUGCGAAGGGGGGACGGAGAAGGCUAUGUUGGCCGGGCGACGGUUGUCCCGGUUUAAGCGUGUAGGUGUGUGUUCCAGGUAAAUCCGGUUCACUUUAACACUGAGGCGUGACGACGAGGCACUACGGUGCUGAAGCAACAAAUGCCCUGCUUCCAGGAAAAGCCUCUAAGCAUCAGGUAACAUCAAAUCGUACCCCAAACCGACACAGGUGGUCAGGUAGAGAAUACCAAGGCGCUUGAGAGAACUCGGGUGAAGGAACUAGGCAAAAUGGUGCCGUAACUUCGGGAGAAGGCACGCUGACACGUAGGUGAAGUGAUUUACUCAUGGAGCUGAAGUCAGUCGAAGAUACCAGCUGGCUGCAACUGUUUAUUAAAAACACAGCACUGUGCAAACACGAAAGUGGACGUAUACGGUGUGACGCCUGCCCGGUGCCGGAAGGUUAAUUGAUGGGGUCAGCGCAAGCGAAGCUCCUGAUCGAAGCCCCGGUAAACGGCGGCCGUAACUAUAACGGUCCUAAGGUAGCGAAAUUCCUUGUCGGGUAAGUUCCGACCUGCACGAAUGGCGUAAUGAUGGCCAGGCUGUCUCCACCCGAGACUCAGUGAAAUUGAACUCGCUGUGAAGAUGCAGUGUACCCGCGGCAAGACGGAAAGACCCCGUGAACCUUUACUAUAGCUUGACACUGAACAUUGAGCCUUGAUGUGUAGGAUAGGUGGGAGGCUUUGAAGUGUGGACGCCAGUCUGCAUGGAGCCGACCUUGAAAUACCACCCUUUAAUGUUUGAUGUUCUAACGUGGACCCGUAAUCCGGGUUGCGGACAGUGUCUGGUGGGUAGUUUGACUGGGGCGGUCUCCUCCUAAAGAGUAACGGAGGAGCACGAAGGUUGGCUAAUCCUGGUCGGACAUCAGGAGGUUAGUGCAAUGGCAUAAGCCAGCUUGACUGCGAGCGUGACGGCGCGAGCAGGUGCGAAAGCAGGUCAUAGUGAUCCGGUGGUUCUGAAUGGAAGGGCCAUCGCUCAACGGAUAAAAGGUACUCCGGGGAUAACAGGCUGAUACCGCCCAAGAGUUCAUAUCGACGGCGGUGUUUGGCACCUCGAUGUCGGCUCAUCACAUCCUGGGGCUGAAGUAGGUCCCAAGGGUAUGGCUGUUCGCCAUUUAAAGUGGUACGCGAGCUGGGUUUAGAACGUCGUGAGACAGUUCGGUCCCUAUCUGCCGUGGGCGCUGGAGAACUGAGGGGGGCUGCUCCUAGUACGAGAGGACCGGAGUGGACGCAUCACUGGUGUUCGGGUUGUCAUGCCAAUGGCACUGCCCGGUAGCUAAAUGCGGAAGAGAUAAGUGCUGAAAGCAUCUAAGCACGAAACUUGCCCCGAGAUGAGUUCUCCCUGAGACUUAGAGUCUCCUGAAGGAACGUUGAAGACGACGACGUUGAUAGGCCGGGUGUGUAAGCGCAG